UAGUUUAUGUUUAUUUUCGUAGGACUUAAUGUUUAUCUUUGUUGUUUAUCGUGGGUGGAUCUAGGUUCAUUGAAUUUUGAAUCACGAGUUUGUAUUUAUCUUAAAAAAUUUUUAUUUAUUGGUACAGAGUUUGUAUUUAUUAUUCAUAAUUUCUAUUUAUCUACAUAGAGUUUGUAUAUAUUAUUCAUAAUUUUUAUUUAUUAUUUGAAGUUUAUAUUUAUCCU
This 224-nucleotide long non-coding RNA is filed under the name Elaeis guineensis (African oil palm). RNAcentral describes it as "long non-coding RNA (EGUI_LNC016761)". Lineage: Eukaryota; Viridiplantae; Streptophyta; Magnoliopsida; Arecales; Arecaceae. The record is from RNAcentral.